UGGACGCUCAGUGCUUCUCGUUCUCUUUCCCUGUGCAGCACGUGGGUGUUUGCUCCUCUUCAGACAUAGAGGACAGAUCAGCUCAAUCAAAGCGUGUUCAUUAUGAAUUACAAGCAAAGAUCCGAUCGCAGCGCAUCCAGACCACCAUGAUAAAUGCUGGAUUCAAUGUGACUUGGAACAAUGUAACUUGAACUUCUGCUGGAUGCUUUACUGCGUGAUUAUUACGCCCAGUUCGCAAAAAUGGUGAACGUGUGCAUCUAUAAGCCGAUUCAGCGCUAAUCAGAUGGAGCUGAAACAACCAUGAGGCGUCCUGAUUCACCUGGAUACAGAGCUAAACGCUCCACGGUGACUGAUGAAUGCUGGAGAUUGAUGUCAGACCGUGAAACCUCUUUUUACAAUGUUUAUUAUCAAAUAAAGUCUAUCAAAAUGA
Long non-coding RNA from Labeo rohita (rohu), 430 nucleotides. RefSeq lists it as uncharacterized. The transcript is spliced from 5 exons. Lineage: Eukaryota; Metazoa; Chordata; Actinopteri; Cypriniformes; Cyprinidae. The record is from RefSeq and is a predicted model, not a curated record.